RNAcentral lists this ribosomal RNA (935 nucleotides) under Aptostichus sp. RIV2. RNAcentral's name for it is "partial 16S ribosomal RNA". The record is from RNAcentral. Lineage: Eukaryota; Metazoa; Arthropoda; Arachnida; Araneae; Euctenizidae.
GCCCCAAAAAGAUAAAUAAUUCAACAUCGAGGUCAUAAACUUUUUCUUUUAUAAGAACUUUAAGAAAAAAUUAUGCUGUUAUCCCUACGGUAGCUUGNUAUGAUUUUCAAAUUGAAGAUAUUUUUAAAAAUAGAUAAAAGAUUUAGUUUUUUACCGCCCCAGUUCAACAAAAGUCAAGUUCGAUAGGGUCUUGUCGUCCUUCUUUAAAAUUCAAGUCUUCUUACUUGAAAGCAAAGUUAAAGAAAUAAGAAUGAUAGAGGAAUUUAUGUGUCAAACCUUUCAUUCUAGCCUUCAAUUAAAAGGCAAAUGAUUAUGCUACCUUAGCACAAAAUUAUUGCGGCUAUUUAAAAAUUCAUUGAGCAGGCCCUACUAAAUAUAAACACAUUUAGAAAUGUUUUUGGUAAACAGACAAUAAACAAGAGCCGAGUUCAUAAAUUCUUAAUUAUAUGGAGAUAUAGAAAUAAUUUUAAAAUGAAGUUUUAUCAAUUCUUUACUAAUAAAAUCAUAAUGAAAUUGUAAAGAAAGUCUUCUUUUAAAGGAAUUUUCUUACAAAAUGAUGGAGAGUUUUUAUACAUUGAGGACACUAUUAAUCCUAAAGUUAAUUCAAUAACAAUAAAGAUAAAAUUUAUUAAGAAGGUUAUCCUUCUUGAUAUUUUUGUACUUAUACUUUUAAAGAAAACCAGAUAUAAUAAAAAACGAAUAAAAUUUCAUUUCUAUAUUCUUUUUGAAGAAUUCUUUAAAACGAACUCGAUAAAAGUAAUGUAGAUCAUUUAAUUUCGGGAAAGUUUCUUAAGAAAAACUAGUUGAAUUUCCCUGAUACCAAAGGUACAAUAUCUUUCUAAUCUUCAAUUUGAGGACACCCUAACGGUUAAGAUAAAAAAAAAGAGGUACAAAUAAAUGAAUACUUAUUUAAUCAAAACUUUAAUUUAAAUACU